AUAGCUUGAUCCUGGCUCAGGAUGAACGCUAGCGGCAGGCUUAAUACAUGCAAGUCGAGGGGUAACAGGGGAGCUUGCUCCCGCUGACGACCGGCGCACGGGUGCGUAACGCGUAUGCAAUCUGCCUCAAACUGGAGAAUAGCCCCGAGAAAUCGGGAUUAAUGCUCCAUAGUACUAUGAAAAGGCAUCUUUUUAUAGUUAAAGCUCCGGCGGUUUGAGAUGAGCAUGCGUGCCAUUAGCUUGUUGGUGAGGUAACGGCUCACCGAGGCUGCGAUGGCUAGGGGGUCUGAGAGGAUGAUCCCCCACACUGGUACUGAGACACGGACCAGACUCCUAUGGGAGGCAGCAGUAAGGAAUAUUGGUCAAUGGACGAAAGUCUGAACCAGCCAUGCCGCGUGGAGGAUGACAGCUCUAGUAGUUGUAAACUUCUUUUGUACGGGAAUAAACCUCCGAAUGCGUUCGGAGCUGAAGGUACCGUAAGAAUAAGCAUCGGCUAACUCCGUGCCAGCAGCCGCGGUAAUACGGAGGAUGCAAGCGUUAUCCGGAUUCACUGGGUUUAAAGGGUGUGCAGGCGGAUUGAUAAGUCAGUGGUGAAAUUCUACAGCUUAACUGUAGAACUGCCAUUGAUACUGUCAGUCUAGAGUAUGGUUGAAGUGGCUGGAAUGUGUCAUGUAGCGGUGAAAUGCAUAGAUAUGACACAGAACACCGACGGCGAAGGCAGGUCACUAAACCAUUACUGACGCUCAUACACGAAAGCGUGGGGAGCAAACAGGAUUAGAUACCCUGGUAGUC
Molecule: ribosomal RNA, 792 nt
Filed under: uncultured bacterium
Lineage: Bacteria
Description: bacterial SSU rRNA
Rfam family: Bacterial small subunit ribosomal RNA
Source: RNAcentral